This 910-nucleotide ribosomal RNA is filed under the name uncultured bacterium. RNAcentral's name for it is "bacterial SSU rRNA". It matches the Rfam family "Bacterial small subunit ribosomal RNA", at positions 597 to 1502 of the family's 1533-position model. The record is from RNAcentral.
AAGCCCCGGGGCUCAACCUUUGGAAUUUGCAUUUGAAACUGGCAAAACUAGAGUACUGUAGAGGGGGGGUAGAAUUUUCAGGUGUAGCGGUGAAAUGCGUAGAGAUCUGAAGGAAUACCGGUGGCGAAGGCGGCCCCCUGGACAGAUACUGACACUCAGAUGCGAAAGCGUGGGGAGCAAACAGGAUUAGAUACCCUGGUAGUCCACGCCGUAAACGAUGUCUACUUGGAGGUUGUGGCCUUGAGCCGUGGCUUUCGGAGCUAACGCGUUAAGUAGACCGCCUGGGGAGUACGGUCGCAAGAUUAAAACUCAAAUGAAUUGACGGGGGCCCGCACAAGCGGUGGAGCAUGUGGUUUAAUUCGAUGCAACGCGAAGAACCUUACCUACUCUUGACAUCUACAGAAGCCAGCGGAGACGCAGGUGUGCCCUCGGGAACUGUAAGACAGGUGCUGCAUGGCUGUCGUCAGCUCGUGUUGUGAAAUGUUGGGUUAAGUCCCGCAACGAGCGCAACCCUUAUCCUUGUUUGCCAGCACUUCGGGUGGGAACUCCAGGGAGACUGCCGGUGAUAAACCGGAGGAAGGUGGGGACGACGUCAAGUCAUCAUGGCCCUUACGAGUAGGGCUACACACGUGCUACAAUGGCGCAUACAGAGGGCGGCCAACUUGCGAAAGUGAGCGAAUCCCAAAAAGUGCGUCGUAGUCCGGAUUGGAGUCUGCAACUCGACUCCAUGAAGUCGGAAUCGCUAGUAAUCGUGGAUCAGAAUGCCACGGUGAAUACGUUCCCGGGCCUUGUACACACCGCCCGUCACACCAUGGGAGUGGGCUGCAAAAGAAGUGGGUAGUUUAACCUUCGGGAGGACGCUCACCACUUUGUGGUUCAUGACUGGGGUGAAGUCGUAACAAGGUAACCG